CAGAUGGGAAGGAAAAAAAUAGAAAGAAAAAAAAAGAAAAGAAAUGAAAAAGGAAAAAAAAAUAAGAGGAAAGGAAAGAAAGAAAAAAGAGAAGAUAUCGAGGGGAAUAGAAGGUUCGAGAGAAGAGAGCGGGGGGAAGAGAAGGUUAAAGAGAGAGAGAGAGAAGAGCCAGAGCAGAGAGGAACGAGAAAAGAGAGAGGAUGAGAAAGAGGACGAUGACGGAGCGAGCCACGGGAAGAAUGAAG
RNAcentral lists this long non-coding RNA (245 nucleotides) under Carica papaya (papaya). RNAcentral describes it as "long non-coding RNA (CPAP_LNC011276)". Lineage: Eukaryota; Viridiplantae; Streptophyta; Magnoliopsida; Brassicales; Caricaceae. The record is from RNAcentral.